Molecule: long non-coding RNA, 749 nt
Filed under: Helianthus annuus (common sunflower)
Lineage: Eukaryota; Viridiplantae; Streptophyta; Magnoliopsida; Asterales; Asteraceae
Source: RNAcentral
UCAUAUAUCGUUUUAUCCAAAACCCUAAUCUUCUCCACCUCUAUCACCAAUCUUCUCUACCGUCACACCAACAAACUGGUGUUUCCAUUAUGUGCAAUCCAAUCCUCUUUUCACUUUCUCUGCAAUCAAAGUUUUUGGUGGUGUAGUUUCUCUUGAAAUUCAUGAUGCCGAAUUACCGAUUUCAAUGGGGUGAUAUUCGUACAAAAUCAACUUAAUACAACCUGACUUGAAGAAUGUGCUAAAAAGGUUACUUUUUUAUUAACGCUAUCAACAACAAGUCCAAGGGCUGUUGGUCCAAUCCUCCCAGCAGCCAUUCCACUCCUUGGAUCUGUUAGAAAGUCAGUUGAAAGAGCUGGAGAUUAUGUCUUCUACAACCUGCAUUGCCGAUUUGGACGUCUCUUUAAAAAGCCUGUUGUACAUACCCCCAUCAUGAUACUGAAGUGAUUCGCCAAGAGCGAGUGAUGACAUUCCGUAAAGAGCUGCUCCACCGAAACCUACCCCAUGAGAUCCCAUUUGCACCAGAGAGAGUUUCCUCCAGACGUCUUUAGCUAGAGGGAAAUCGAUGAAAACAUAAGUCACCAAUACAUAAAAGGCCCAUUAUACUUCAUGAUUAAUUAUACUUCAUGAUUAUUUGUUUUAGGUAUUUGGAUUUCAAGUUGACAAUGGUAUAUAAAUAGAAAGCUGGUAUGAUCACCAUAUGAAUCAAAUUAAAUAUUAAAUUUUUAGUUGAGAUUUCUUUUAUCAUAUAU